GCCCCAAUAGCUCAGUCGGUAGAGCGUUUCCAUGGUAAGGAAAAGGUCUACGGUUCGAUUCCGUAUUGGGGCUCCA
Molecule: transfer RNA, 76 nt
Filed under: Umezawaea endophytica
Lineage: Bacteria; Bacillati; Actinomycetota; Actinomycetes; Pseudonocardiales; Pseudonocardiaceae
Also listed under: 5 other names
Description: tRNA-Thr
Rfam family: tRNA
About the family: Transfer RNA (tRNA) molecules are approximately 80 nucleotides in length.
Source: RNAcentral